UAACUUGUUUAAAUAUAUUUUCAUGCAAACUAAUAUUUAAAUACAUAUAUUAUAAUUAAAAUUAAAUAUAAGUUUUUGAACAUUAAUCUCAAUAAGUUCUUAUUUUUUUGAUAUAAUGGUUAGACCUACUCAUUGUCCCUCCUCAACCAUUAAAUAAGAAGAUAAUAUGCUUCAACGUACUCGAACCCAUUUCCUCCUGCACUGAUAAUAAUACUGAUGUCAAUCGAGCUAAG
This 233-nucleotide long non-coding RNA is filed under the name Gossypium barbadense (sea-island cotton). RNAcentral's name for it is "long non-coding RNA (GBAR_LNC012379)". The record is from RNAcentral. Lineage: Eukaryota; Viridiplantae; Streptophyta; Magnoliopsida; Malvales; Malvaceae.